This 69-nucleotide transfer RNA is filed under the name Rhinobatos hynnicephalus (angel fish). RNAcentral describes it as "tRNA-Met". It matches the Rfam family "tRNA". From Rfam's summary of the family: Transfer RNA (tRNA) molecules are approximately 80 nucleotides in length. Lineage: Eukaryota; Metazoa; Chordata; Chondrichthyes; Rhinopristiformes; Rhinobatidae. RNAcentral also lists the same sequence under 3 other names. The record is from RNAcentral.
AGUAAAGUCAGCUAAUCAAGCUUUUGGGCCCAUACCCCAAACAUGUUGGUUAAAAUCCUUCCUCUACUA